RNAcentral lists this ribosomal RNA (805 nucleotides) under Zschokkella sp. 2 IF-2006. RNAcentral describes it as "SSU rRNA". It matches the Rfam family "Eukaryotic small subunit ribosomal RNA", at positions 305 to 1099 of the family's 1831-position model. Lineage: Eukaryota; Metazoa; Cnidaria; Myxozoa; Bivalvulida; Myxidiidae. The record is from RNAcentral.
UUCUGCCCUAUCAACUUGUUGAUAAGGUAGUGGCUUACCAAGGUUGUGACGGGUAACGGGGAAUCAGGGUUCGAUUCCGGAGAGGGAGCCUGAGAAACGGCUACCACAUCUAAGGAAGGCAGCAGGCGCGCAAAUUACCCAAUCCAGACAUUGGGAGGUAGUGACGAGAAAUACCGGGAGCUGGACCGUAAGGUUCACUACCGGAAUGAACGUAACACAGUACCUUCGAUGAGUACCUACUGGAGGGCAAGUCUGGUGCCAGCAGCCGCGGUAAUUCCAGCUCCAGUAGUGUAUAUCAAAAUUGUUGCGGUUAAAACGCUCGUAGUUGGAUUACAAAAGUUGUGCGUUGCUUGGGCCGUAAAGGCUUGAGUGAUCGCAGGGCUUUUUUAUCGCAAGAACCAGAUGCGCACCUCACGGUGUGUGUGGCCACUUGCGGAGCGCGCCUUGAAUAAAGCACAGUGCUCAAAGCAGGCGUUACGCUCGAAUGUCAUAGCAUGGAACGAAUAAAUGACCGUGUGUGUUGUCUUCUUAACAGAAGAUGGCAUCGGUUCAAUUUGUUGGUUUCUGAACCCGGUCCUGAUUAAAAGGGACAUUUGAGGGCGUUAGUACUUGGUGGCGAGAGGUGAAAUUCUUAGACCCACCAAAGACUCACUAAUGCGAAAGCAUUCGCCAAGAAUGUUUUCAUUGAUCAAGAACGAAAGUUAGAGGUUCGAAGACGAUCAGAUACCGUCCUAGUUCUAUACAGUAAACUAUGCCACCUUGGGAUUAGUCCGGUGACUAACCAGGUUGGUCCCCCCGCGAAACC